AGGGUUGGGGAUCGUUUGGAUUUUAUUCGAUACCGGUGCUAAAACGAUACUUUAAAACAGUGCCGGUGCCUAAACUUAAAAAAUAGGGAG
Long non-coding RNA from Etheostoma spectabile (orangethroat darter), 90 nucleotides. RefSeq lists it as uncharacterized. The transcript is spliced from 3 exons. The record is from RefSeq and is a predicted model, not a curated record. NCBI's taxonomy places the organism in Eukaryota, Metazoa, Chordata, Actinopteri, Perciformes, Percidae.